GCCCUGCUACCUGCCAUCAGGCGCCGAGGGGUCCCCCCGCCCCUCUCAAAGGCACGGGGGGUCGGGCUACUUCCCCAAAGUUGCCGCUGGCUCCGUCGAGGUCAGCGAAAGCUGCGGGGCUGGGGGUGACGACGGGACGGGCGAGAAGCGGGGCGCCAGGCAGAAAUAUUUACCCCCGCAGUGCAGGAGUCUUACACAAAGCCAUGAAGGAGCGAGAAAUGUUUGUAAAAGAACAGGAAAAUGGGAUUGUAAAACUGCCGAGUGUCCCCCAGGGAAAUCAGCUAGAUUUUGCUGUGAGCACCUCAGCGGUCUCAAGCGAAUAGAUCGUGAGACUAGAUCCAUCAGAGCGUAUUGUUCCAGCCGUGGAAUGCUUUUGAAGAUGCGAAUCACUCGCUCAAAAUCCUCUAAAGUUCAUUCUGAGUUCUGGGCAAAAUGCCAACCGCUUUCAGUGCGAGGCAAACCUCAGUUGAAUCGGAUUAUGCUGCUAGGAGAUUCUCCGCUAUCCUAUCCCCCCUAUGGCAACCACAUGUUUCCAUGAGUGGAGAAAAGAUGAGGUUCAUUCUUCCUGACGGCACUUGGAAGUGGAAGAAGCAGAGCCUCAAAGGCUUCAGAUGUUUCCCCUAGCCUGAAACUGAUGUGUCACAACUUUAUUUGCAGAGCUGAUCAUUAUGUGCAGCCUUCUUCGUUGUACGCUGUUGCCUUUUGGGUUCGGCACCCCAUAAUCACAUGUUCCUCUCUAUCUCAUAUACCUCUACUACAUAUCUGUUAAUAUUUUCAAGUCCUUCAUUAAACAUGCUUUCUCCAAAAUUAUGUCUGUUUGACAACUGCAAAUAUUCUGGAAAUACUCUGUGUCUAUGAUGACAACAUUUAGAUAAGAAAUGUGUUUGCUUCCUUAUGUUCAAUGGCCACUUCAGACUAAUCUGACAGCUGAACGAUCAGAACAAUAGCGUUUGUGUAACUUUAUUUCUACUGAUUAAACCAAAUGAAUGUAUACCUGAAGUCCAAUUUGUGAUCUGCCAAUAAAGAGGAGAUCUGUAGGAAGAUAUUAUCCUCA
RNAcentral lists this long non-coding RNA (1054 nucleotides) under Struthio camelus australis. Its description in RNAcentral is "lncRNA (ENSSCUG00000017365.1)". Lineage: Eukaryota; Metazoa; Chordata; Aves; Struthioniformes; Struthionidae. The record is from RNAcentral.